UCCAUCCCCCUUUCUGUGUUCCUGCAAACAACUCUCUUCACCAUCUCAAAUCAGUAGCCAGGACCGAUAGGGGCUGAUUAGCGGAAGCCAGGGUGGAGACCCUUCCAGGCGUGAAAAUGAGAUCGGAGAGGAGCUACUCCGUGAGAAUUGCCCUUGGUCUCCCUUGUAGCCCUGCUGGCGACCUCAGGUAUCAGCACUAAAGGUAGUUGCCGGCAAGAACUCUUUUUGUACAGGAUGGGGAUAGGAUGGAUUUUUAAAGAUGAAUCUCUCACUCACCAUCUCCAUUAAGGAGCCACUUCCCGAGAAUUAGGGAAUCUGGGGCCGUUUCUGCUACUGCUUCUUCUGUUGCUGUUGACUUGAAGACAACCGUAUGAAUUCAAGAAACCCUUGGGCUGGUGGCAGAGAAAGCUUCUGCCAAGUAGAGGACAGCAACCAACAAGACUAUUGACCCAAGCUUGGCCCUUUUACCAGCAGACGCCUUCCAGGAGUUGUUUGGACAGUGAGGAGCCAAAGUGAAAUGCAGAAUGCCUAAUUAGUAAUUCUGAAUACAGCUUUAUGUUCUGUUGAGGUUUAGGUAUUAAUCACUCAACAGAUUGUGACACACUUCUAAGGUCACAUCAAAGAAUCUCCUUCAUGCUCUGGUGUAAACAGGGGGAAUAACAACAUUAAAUAAAGGAAUUAUAUCUCAGAGGGAGGUGGCCAAGGAUACAAAGAAAAGGAAGAAUAAGCAAUAAGGAAAACAGCUCUGGCUAAUGAAAUUAUUUGAGAGAACUAUGUUGUUUUUAAUGGGAAAAUUUGCCUAGAACCUUUGGAAUGUAUCUUUUGUUAAGUAAAGUGAUGAGGUGGUGGCCAUUCAGUGAAUAAGACUCCUAUUUAUUUACAUCAAGCAGAUGGACCCAAAUGUACCCUAUUUUUGUCCUCAGGAUUGUUUUUUCCUCUACCCCCUCUUUAUUUUUGACAAUGUCAUGUAAAGUCAAGUCACCAAGUAUUUUUAAGCACUUGCUAUGUGCCGAACAUUGUGCUAAGUGUGGGGAAUAGAAGAAAACAAAAACAGUCCUAACCCUCAAGUAGUUCAUUCUAUUGAGGGUGACAACAUACAAACAAUUAUAUAUAUGCAGGAUUUAUACAGGCUAAACUAGAGGAAUCUGUGGCUCAGCUGGGAGUUGGAAAGACAAAGUUCAAAUGUGAAUUCUGACAU
Phascolarctos cinereus (koala) is the source of this 1198-nucleotide non-coding RNA. NCBI's taxonomy places the organism in Eukaryota, Metazoa, Chordata, Mammalia, Diprotodontia, Phascolarctidae. The record is from RefSeq and is a predicted model, not a curated record.